RNAcentral lists this ribosomal RNA (479 nucleotides) under uncultured bacterium. Its description in RNAcentral is "partial 16S ribosomal RNA". It matches the Rfam family "Bacterial small subunit ribosomal RNA", at positions 28 to 507 of the family's 1533-position model. The record is from RNAcentral.
GAUGAACGCUAGCGGGAGGCUUAACACAUGCAAGCCGAGGGGUAUAGUUCUUUCGGGAACUCGAGACCGGCGCACGGGUGCGUAACGCGUAUGCAACUUGCCCUACUGAAAAGGAUAGCCCUUCGAAAGGAGGAUUAAUACUUUAUAACAGAUUUAUUGUCAUCAUUAGAUUUUGAAAGAUUUAUCGCAGUAUGAUAGGCAUGCGUAAGAUUAGUUAGUUGGUGAGGUAACGGCUCACCAAGACGGUGUACUUUAGGGGGCCUGAGAGGGUGAACCCCCACACUGGUACUGCGACACGGACCACACUGCUACGCGAGGCAGCAGUGAGGAAUACUGGACAAUGGGUGGAAGCCUGAUCCAGCCAUCCCGCGUGUAGGAUGACGGCGUUAUGGGUUGUAAGCUACUUUUAUAUGGGGAUAAACCUACUUACGUGUAAGUAGCUGAAGGUACCAGAAGAAUAAGCACCGGCUAACUCCGUG